CCUACGGGUGGCAGCAGUGGGGAAUAUUGCACAAUGGGGGAAACCCUGAUGCAGCGACGCCGCGUGGGGGAGGAAGUAUUUCGGUAUGUAAAGUCCUAUCAGCAGGGAAGAAAAUGACGGUAUCUGACUAAGAAGCCCCGGCUAACUACGUGCCAGCAGCCGCGGUAAUACGUAGGGUGCAAGCGUUAUCCGGAUUUACUGGGUGUAAAGGGAGCGUAGGCGGCUAAUCAAGUCAGAAGUGAAAACCUAGGGCUUAACGUUGGGACUGCUUUUGAAACUGAGUAGCUAGAGUGCAGGAGAGGUAAGCGGAAUUCCUAGUGUAGCGGUAAAAUGCGUAGAGAUUAGGAGGAACACCAGUGGCGAAGGCGGCUUACUAGAAUGUAACUGACGUUGAGGCUCGAAAGCGUGGGGAGCAAACAGGAUUAGAUACCCGUGUAGUC
This 440-nucleotide ribosomal RNA is filed under the name uncultured bacterium. RNAcentral describes it as "partial 16S ribosomal RNA". It matches the Rfam family "Bacterial small subunit ribosomal RNA", at positions 338 to 795 of the family's 1533-position model. The record is from RNAcentral.